CCUACGGGAGGCAGCAGUGGGGAAUAUUGCACAAUGGGGGGAACCCUGAUGCAGCAACGCCGCGUGGGUGAAGAAGUACUUCGGUAUGUAAAGCCCUGUCAGCAGGGAAGAAAAUGACGGUACCUGACCAAGAAGCCCCGGCUAACUACGUGCCAGCAGCCGCGGUAAUACGUAGGGGGCAAGCGUUAUCCGGAUUUACUGGGUGUAAAGGGAGCGUAGACGGCAAGGCAAGUCUGGAGUGAAAGCCCGUGGCUCAACCACGGGACUGCUUUGGAAACUGUGUUGCUGGAGUGCAGGAGGGGUAAGCGGAAUUCCUAGUGUAGCGGUGAAAUGCGGAGAUAUUAGGAGGAACACCGGUGGCGAAGGCGGAUUACUGGACUGUAACUGACGUUGAGGCGCGAAGGCGUGGGGAGCAAACAGGAUUAGAUACCCGUGUAGUC
Molecule: ribosomal RNA, 440 nt
Filed under: uncultured bacterium
Lineage: Bacteria
Description: partial 16S ribosomal RNA
Rfam family: Bacterial small subunit ribosomal RNA
Source: RNAcentral